AGUGGGAUAGCUGGGUCAAAUGGUGGUUUCAUUCCCAAUUUUCCAAGAAAUCUCCAUACUGCUUUCAAAAAUUGGCUGCACCAAUUUGCAGUCCCACCAGCAGU
This 104-nucleotide microRNA precursor is filed under the name Marmota monax (woodchuck). The record is from RNAcentral. Lineage: Eukaryota; Metazoa; Chordata; Mammalia; Rodentia; Sciuridae.